GACUAACGCUGGCGGCGUGCCUAACACAUGCAAGUCGAACGAGGUAGCAAUACCUAGUGGCAGACGGGUGAGUAACACGUGGUCAACCUUCCCUAGAGUGGGGGAUAACUAGCCGAAAGGUUAGCUAAUACCGCAUACGAUCGUCGAGGGGCAUCCCAUGACGAUGAAAGGAGCAAUUCGCUCUAGGACGGGACCGCGUCCCAUUAGCUAGUUGGUGGGGUAAUGGCCUACCAAGGCUCCGAUGGGUAGCUGGUUUGAGAGAAUGACCAGCCACACU
RNAcentral lists this ribosomal RNA (277 nucleotides) under uncultured bacterium. RNAcentral's name for it is "partial 16S ribosomal RNA". It matches the Rfam family "Bacterial small subunit ribosomal RNA", at positions 28 to 314 of the family's 1533-position model. The record is from RNAcentral.